GACGAACGCUGGCGGCGUGCCUAACACAUGCAAGUCGAACGGAACUUACCGAAUGAAGUUUUCGGAUGGAUUUUGAUAAGUUUAGUGGCGGACGGGUGAGUAACGCGUGAGUAACCUGCCUUCAAGAGGGGAAUAACGUUCUGAAAGAACGCUAAUACCGCAUAACAUACGGAUGUCGCAUGGCAACCGUAUCAAAGAUUUUAUCGCUUGAAGAUGGACUCGCGUCCGAUUAGCCAGUUGGCGGGGUAACGGCCCACCAAAGCGACGAUCGGUAGCCGGACUGAAAGGUUGAACGGCCACAUUGGGACUGAGACACGGCCCAGACUCCUACGGGAGGCAGCAGUGGGGGAGAUUAGUCGCGACUAAGGGGUCGGGGAACCCUACCCGUACGGACCGACGACGAACCGAACCCGGCCCGGUCGGUAACGGAACGUAGUAAGGGUAACGGUUUCC
RNAcentral lists this ribosomal RNA (453 nucleotides) under uncultured bacterium. RNAcentral's name for it is "bacterial SSU rRNA". It matches the Rfam family "Bacterial small subunit ribosomal RNA", at positions 28 to 416 of the family's 1533-position model. The record is from RNAcentral.